Molecule: ribosomal RNA, 256 nt
Filed under: uncultured bacterium
Lineage: Bacteria
Description: partial 16S ribosomal RNA
Rfam family: Bacterial small subunit ribosomal RNA
Source: RNAcentral
UACGGGGGGGGCAAGCGUUGUUCGGAAUUACUGGGCGUAAAGGGCUCGUAGGCGGCCAACUAAGUCAGACGUGAAAUCCCUCGGCUUAACCGGGGAACUGCGUCUGAUACUGGAUGGCUUGAGUUUGGGAGAGGGAUGCGGAAUUCCAGGUGUAGCGGUGAAAUGCGUAGAUAUAUGGAAGAACAUCAAUAACGGCGAAGGCAGUUAACUAUUCUGUUACUGACAUUGAGGCACGAAAGCGUGGGGAGCAAAACGG